Fragaria vesca subsp. vesca is the source of this 1076-nucleotide RNA transcript. RefSeq lists it as uncharacterized. The transcript has 2 exons. Lineage: Eukaryota; Viridiplantae; Streptophyta; Magnoliopsida; Rosales; Rosaceae. The record is from RefSeq and is a predicted model, not a curated record.
GAUUUACCCAGACGUUGCCUUCUCUCAAUCGAUCUCAUCGUCUUCUCCUCUCCUCUUGUCACUAAUUCGUAUAAUAUCCAUCAAAUUUGCUGCAAACCCAGUGAGGAUUCGGCGGAGACGAAGACCCAAAGCGGAAUAAGUCUACCCCUCUUAUCCUUUCUCUCAAGUUUACAAAAUUUGAGGAAAAAUCCAAACUCGUUUCGCCGAAGAAUCGACGGAGCCCAAAGUUCGAUAUCUCCGCACUUCUCCUCUCAAUACCCAAAUUGGUCGACAGAACCCAGUGCUCAUUGUUUUAAUUUUUAGCUCUAUGGAUUUUGGUUUGGGAUUGUUAUUAUGAGUGAUUAUUUUGUUGUGUUUCAGAAUUUCAGAGAGAUCCGCUUUGGAUUUUUCAAGAGACGCUUUCUGAGCAGCUUCCCAGUAGCGAAAUGGCACCGGUCUGGAUUAUGGAGUCCGGUUUGCUGUCUUAAUAGGAGGCAAAUAAAGUGUUUGAGAAAAAGCAGAAGACCACAACAGUUAUCCAAGUAAACCUCUAGGUUCUGGAAGGAAGACCACAACAGUCGGUACAGAAGACCACAACAGUUCUCCAAGUAAACCUCUAGGUUCUGGAAGGAAGACUACAACAGUCGGUACUCCAAGUAGAGGUGGAGCUUCUGUAAAGAAAACACCUUUGUUAGGAUGAUUUGUGAUAUCGGAGAGACCAAAGAAUUUGACGCAGCUUAAUCUGAUUUCUCAUCAACCAAUUGUAGUCUUUCAACUUUUGUAUGCAACUGUGUGUAUUAUAAUGUCAUGAUUUACUCAUUUAGUAUUUACCCAAACCUAUCGAUACACCUUAUGGUAAUGUUAUUUCAAGAAGUAUAAGAUUGUCCCCUUUCUAAUCUUGUUUUCAUUUUGAUAUGUACCAGUUAUACAUUAGCAGGCUGCAGCCAUAGCUUGCCAUGUUUCUACGUCAUAAACAAGUAACCUAUACAUAAGCAGGCAUAGUUGCCUUGUUUGUACGUCAUAAACAAGCAACUUAUACUUACAGUUAAGGAUCCCUUGUCUCUAACACUACUUCUUCAAUGAAACUGUCAUCACCA